RNAcentral lists this long non-coding RNA (260 nucleotides) under Ananas comosus (pineapple). RNAcentral describes it as "long non-coding RNA (ACOM_LNC034185)". Lineage: Eukaryota; Viridiplantae; Streptophyta; Magnoliopsida; Poales; Bromeliaceae. The record is from RNAcentral.
GGAGACGGUGAUGCGGGAGUCCUACCCCUACUUGUUUGAUGCUCAGAACUAAGGUAUGAAUUUUAGGCUUCGAGGACAAAACUUUUUGUAGUGGGGGAGGAUGUAGUAUCCGUAGGGUUUAAUUGACGGAAUGACUACAGUAUCAGUGACUGGUCGACACAUCUGGAGAGUGUCAGACUGAGUCGGAGUCGUUUCUGCACGAAAUGGAUGCAGAAAUGGACUUGGCACACUCAAAUAAGCAAAACUGGAGUUUUGCCAGU